RNAcentral lists this ribosomal RNA (301 nucleotides) under uncultured bacterium. RNAcentral's name for it is "partial 16S ribosomal RNA". It matches the Rfam family "Bacterial small subunit ribosomal RNA", at positions 509 to 807 of the family's 1533-position model. The record is from RNAcentral.
CAGCAGCCACGGUAAUACGGAGGGUGCAAGCGUUAAUCGGAAUUACUGGGCGUAAAGCGCACGCAGGCGGUCUGACAAGUCAGAUGUGAAAUCCCCGGGCUUAACCUGGGAACUGCAUUUGAAACUGUCAGGCUGGAGUCUUGUAGAGGGGGGUAGAAUUCCAGGUGUAGCGGUGAAAUGCGUAGAGAUCUGGAGGAAUACCGGUGGCGAAGGCGGCCCCCUGGACAAAGACUGACGCUCAGGUGCGAAAGCGUGGGGAGCAAACAGGAUUAGAUACCCCGGUAGUCCCUGUCUCUUAUAC